RNAcentral lists this transfer RNA (73 nucleotides) under Batrachochytrium salamandrivorans. RNAcentral describes it as "tRNA-OTHER". It matches the Rfam family "tRNA". Rfam says of the family: Transfer RNA (tRNA) molecules are approximately 80 nucleotides in length. The record is from RNAcentral. Lineage: Eukaryota; Fungi; Chytridiomycota; Chytridiomycetes; Rhizophydiales.
CGGGCAUUCAUUCUAUAGGUUAAGAUCCUAGACUCUAAAUCUAGUGAAAAAGGUUCAAGUCCUUUAUGCUCCA